UAUCAUUUACGCUUGGGAUAAAGGAAGAACAUAAGCUGGCGUAACCAGGCGUAGAUGGCCAUUUAUUUACAACAUCACAGAUCAAUCAACUGAAGUUGGCACAUAAGGAAAACAGCAGGGGAUGGCGCUAGACCAGUAAACUAACA
Sander lucioperca (pikeperch) is the source of this 146-nucleotide long non-coding RNA. RefSeq lists it as uncharacterized. NCBI's taxonomy places the organism in Eukaryota, Metazoa, Chordata, Actinopteri, Perciformes, Percidae. The transcript is spliced from 2 exons. The record is from RefSeq and is a predicted model, not a curated record.